Molecule: ribosomal RNA, 459 nt
Filed under: uncultured bacterium
Lineage: Bacteria
Description: partial 16S ribosomal RNA
Rfam family: Bacterial small subunit ribosomal RNA
Source: RNAcentral
CCUACGGGAGACAGCAGUGAGGAAUAUUGGUCAAUGGGCGCGAGCCUGAACCAGCCAAGUCGCGUGAGGGAAGACGGUCCUAUGGAUUGUAAACCUCUUUUGUCGGGGAGCAAAAGACGCCACGCGUGGCGUUUCGAGAGUACCCGAAGAAAAAGCAUCGGCUAACUCCGUGCCAGCAGCCGCGGUAAUACGGAGGAUGCGAGCGUUCUCCGGAUUUAUUGGGUUUAAAGGGUGCGCAGGCGGAAGAUCAAGUCAGCGGUAAAAUUGAGGGGCUCAACCUCAUCGAGCCGUUGAAACUGGUUUUCUUGAGUGAAUGAGAGGUAUGCGGAAUGCGUGGUGUAGCGGUGAAAUGCAUAGAUAUCACGCAGAACUCCGAUUGCGAAGGCAGCAUACCGGCGCUCAACUGACGCUCAUGCACGAAAGUGUGGGUAUCGAACAGGAUUAGAUACCCGAGUAGUC